AAAUGAAUAGACGGGGGCCCGCACAAGCAGCGGAGCAUGUGGUUUAAUUCGAAGCAACGCGAAGAACCUUACCAGGUCUUGACAUCGAUCCAAAAGCCAUAGAGAUAUGGUGUAACUACGGUUGGGAGAAGACAGGUGGUGCAUGGUUGUCGUCAGCUCGUGUCGUGAGAUGUUGGGUUAAGUCCCGCAACGAGCGCAACCCUUGUUGUCAGUUACUAACGCAUAGAGGCGAGGACUCUGACGAGACCGCCGGGGACAACUCGGAGGAAGGUGGGGACGACGUCAAAUCAUCAUGCCCCUUAUGACCUGGGCUACACACGUGCUACAAUGGUGGCAACAAAGAGGAGCGAACCCGCGAGGGGGAGCGGAUCUCAAAAAAGCCAUCUCAGUUCGGAUUGUGGGCUGCAACCCGCCCACAUGAAGUCGGAGUUGCUAGUAAUCGCGAAUCAUCAUGUCGCGGUGAAUACGUUCCCGGGCCUUGUACACACCGCCCGU
RNAcentral lists this ribosomal RNA (495 nucleotides) under uncultured bacterium. RNAcentral describes it as "bacterial SSU rRNA". It matches the Rfam family "Bacterial small subunit ribosomal RNA", at positions 903 to 1397 of the family's 1533-position model. The record is from RNAcentral.